This 492-nucleotide ribosomal RNA is filed under the name uncultured bacterium. RNAcentral describes it as "bacterial SSU rRNA". It matches the Rfam family "Bacterial small subunit ribosomal RNA", at positions 29 to 502 of the family's 1533-position model. The record is from RNAcentral.
AACGAACGUUAGCGGCGCGCCUAACACAUGCAAGUCGCACGAGAAAGGGAGCAAUCCCCGGUACAGUGGCGCACGGGUGAGUAACACGUAGGUAAUCUGCCUCCGAGUGGUGGAUAACCUUCCGAAAGGAGGGCUAAUACAGCAUGAGACCACGACCACGAGAGUGGAUGGGGUCAAAGCCGGCCUCUAUACAUAAGCUGGCGCUUGGAGAUGAGCCUGCGGCCCAUCAGCUAGUUGGUAGGGUAAUGGCCUACCAAGGCAAAGACGGGUAGCUGGUCUGAGAGGAUGAUCAGCCACACUGGAACUGAGACACGGUCCAGACUCCUACGGGAGGCAGCAGUGGGGAAUCUUGCGCAAUGGGCGAAAGCCUGACGCAGCGACGCCGCGUGGGUGACGAAGGCCUUCGGGUUGUAAAGCCCUGUGGGGGAGAGAAUAAGUGGGUGCGAAUAGCACACAUGAUGACGGUAUCCCCUUAGCAAGCACCGGCUAACU